Glycine soja is the source of this 91-nucleotide non-coding RNA. Lineage: Eukaryota; Viridiplantae; Streptophyta; Magnoliopsida; Fabales; Fabaceae. The record is from Rfam.
GGAGAGAUGACUGAGUGGUUGUUAGCCAGUCCUGAAAACGGGUAAAGUUCGAAACAAAGAGCUAUCGAGGGUUCGAAUUCCUCUCUCUCCU